This 364-nucleotide ribosomal RNA is filed under the name uncultured bacterium. Its description in RNAcentral is "partial 16S ribosomal RNA". It matches the Rfam family "Bacterial small subunit ribosomal RNA", at positions 338 to 699 of the family's 1533-position model. The record is from RNAcentral.
CCUACGGGGAGCAGCAGUGAGGAAUAUUGGACAAUGGACGGAAGUCGGAACCAGCCAUGCCGCGUGCAGGAAGACGGCUCUAUGAGUUGUAAACUGCUUUUGUACAAGGGUAAACCUGAAUACGUGUACUCCUCUGAAUGUACUGUACGAAUAAGGAUCGGCUAACUCCGUGCCAGCAGCCGCGGUAAUACGGAGGAUCCAAGCGUUAUCCGGAUUUAUUGGGUUUAAAGGGUGCGUAGGCGGGUUGCUAAGUUAGGGGUGAAAUGUCCGAGCUUAACUCGGGAACUGCCUCUGAUACUGUUGAUCUAGAGGGUAGGUGCGGUAGGCGGAAUGUGUGGUGUAGCGGUGAAAUGCUUAGAGAUCA